CCAUGUGGACAAAAAGAUGCAGUAGAGAGAUCAUGAGAUUUGGAAUCAGGAAAACGCCUGGGUUCUAGUCUAGACUCUGCUAUUCCUGGCUUUGUGACUCACAGCAAUUUGCUUCAUCUCUCCGAUCCAAGUUUCCUGUAAAUAUCUUCUAAAGUAGUGACAUAAAUGGCAUUUCAGGCAGGAAGCAGAGAAAUGGUGGCCAAGUGACCAUUAACUGAUGAUGUUGGAAUCAUCUUUGACAGCUGCUGCUUCUCUAGAUGCAGUAGCAGCCAUCGUGGAAAAUGGUCAUGGGACUGAACCUUUCUGCUACGAAGAACUAGAAAGCUGGACAAAGUGUAUGAAUAAACUGUUUUCUCAUGUUGGGCCACAGAGAGCACAGGGCUGUGAUACUUGAGAUCAGGAAGACACCAUGUUUCACUACAGCUUUCUGCCUGAGACCACCAUUCAAACUUCAGCACAAGGCAGCCAAAGCCAUUUUAGGAUGGUGAGAGACAUGCCGCCAGCACAUUGGAAAUGCGUCUCUGGUGGACAGGAAACAGUAUGAGUCACACUCGAAGUUCUCUGUUGUUCGGAAGGGGUGAAACCGCUUUGACUUCAGGAGGACUGAAGGUGUUAGGAGCUGCUUGGCAUUUUGACUGUGUUUCUGAGACGAAUAUGUAUGUACGACUGCCUGGGGAGAAACCACACACAACAGAGCCUGAAGCUACUAACACCAGGUCAGUCAGGAAGCUCUGGAAGUUUGAUGGAAACUCAUGCAAUAUGAGAAAGACUUGACCAGCUAUGGCUAGCUUUGAAAGUGGAAGGCGGCCAGGAGCCAAGGAAUGUGGGCAGCCUUAGAAGCUGAGAAGAUUUAUUUAUUUGAGAAGAAGAGAGCAC
Molecule: long non-coding RNA, 876 nt
Organism: Lontra canadensis (Northern American river otter)
Lineage: Eukaryota; Metazoa; Chordata; Mammalia; Carnivora; Mustelidae
Exons: 6
Source: RefSeq, a predicted model, not a curated record